CGGGGCGUGGCGCAGUCUGGUAGCGCACCUGCUUUGGGAGCAGGGGGCCGCUGGUUCGAAUCCAGUCGCCCCGACAA
Molecule: transfer RNA, 77 nt
Filed under: Calditrichota bacterium
Lineage: Bacteria; Pseudomonadati; Calditrichota
Description: Calditrichaeota bacterium tRNA-Pro
Rfam family: tRNA
About the family: Transfer RNA (tRNA) molecules are approximately 80 nucleotides in length. Their secondary structure includes four short double-helical elements and three loops (D, anti-codon, and T loops).
Source: RNAcentral